This 465-nucleotide ribosomal RNA is filed under the name Vreelandella stevensii. Its description in RNAcentral is "partial 16S ribosomal RNA". It matches the Rfam family "Bacterial small subunit ribosomal RNA", at positions 338 to 795 of the family's 1533-position model. Lineage: Bacteria; Pseudomonadati; Pseudomonadota; Gammaproteobacteria; Oceanospirillales; Halomonadaceae. The record is from RNAcentral.
CCUACGGGAGGCUGCAGUGGGGAAUAUUGGACAAUGGGCGAAAGCCUGAUCCAGCCAUGCCGCGUGUGUGAAGAAGGCCUUCGGGUUGUAAAGCACUUUCAGUGGGGAAGAAAGCCUUGGGGCUAAUACCCUCGAGGAAGGACAUCACCCACAGAAGAAGCACCGGCUAACUCCGUGCCAGCAGCCGCGGUAAUACGGAGGGUGCGAGCGUUAAUCGGAAUUACUGGGCGUAAAGCGCGCGUAGGCGGUCUGAUAAGCCGGUUGUGAAAGCCCCGGGCUCAACCUGGGAACGGCAUCCGGAACUGUCAGGCUAGAGUGCAGGAGAGGAAGGUAGAAUUCCCGGUGUAGCGGUGAAAUGCGUAGAGAUCGGGAGGAAUAACAGUGGCGAAGGCGGCAUUCUGGACUGACACUGACGCUGAGGUGCGAAAGCGUGGGUAGCAAACAGGAUUAGAUACCCCAGUAGUC